This 497-nucleotide ribosomal RNA is filed under the name uncultured bacterium. RNAcentral's name for it is "partial 16S ribosomal RNA". It matches the Rfam family "Bacterial small subunit ribosomal RNA", at positions 28 to 507 of the family's 1533-position model. The record is from RNAcentral.
GAUGAACGCUGGCGGCGUGCCUAAUACAUGCAAGUCGAGCGAACAGAUGAGGAGCUUGCUCCUCUGACGUUAGCGGCGGACGUGUGAGUAACACGUGGAUAACCUACCUAUAAGACUGGGAUAACUUCGGGAAACCGGAGCUAAUACCGGAUAAUAUAUUGAACCGCAUGGUUCAAUAGUGAAAGACGGUUUUGCUGUCACUUAUAGAUGGAUCCGCGCCGCAUUAGCUAGUUGGUAAGGUAACGGCUUACCAAGGCAACGAUGCGUAGCCGACCUGAGAGGGUGAUCGGCAACACUGGAACUGAGACACGGUCCAGACUCCAACAGGAGGCAGCAGUAGGGAAUCUUCCGCAAUGGGCGAAAGACUGACGGAGCAACGCCGCGUGAGUGAUGAAGGUCUUCGGAUCGUAAAACUCUGUUAUUAGGGAAGAACAAAUGUGUAAGUAACUAUGCACGUCUUGACGGUACCUAAUCAGAAAGCCACGGCUAACUACGUG